This 460-nucleotide ribosomal RNA is filed under the name uncultured bacterium. Its description in RNAcentral is "partial 16S ribosomal RNA". It matches the Rfam family "Bacterial small subunit ribosomal RNA", at positions 338 to 795 of the family's 1533-position model. The record is from RNAcentral.
CCUACGGGAGGCUGCAGUGAGGAAUAUUGGUCAAUGGGCGCGAGUCUGAACCAGCCAAGUAGCGUGCAGGAAGACUGCCCUACGGGUUGUAAACUUCUUUUAUAAAGGAAUAAAGUGAGGUACGUGUGCCUUUUUGUAUGUACUUUAUGAAUAAGGAUCGGCUAACUCCGUGCCAGCAGCCGCGGUAAUACGGAGGAUCCGAGCGUUAUCCGGAUUUAUUGGGUUUAAAGGGAGCGUAGAUGGGUUGUUAAGUCAGUUGUGAAAGGUUGCGGCUCAACCGGAAAAUUGCAAUUGAUACUGGCAGUCUAGAGUACAGUUGAGGUAGGCGGAAUGCGUGGUGUAGCGGUGAAAUGCUUAGAGAUCAUGAAGAACUCCGAUUGCGAAGGCAGCUUACUAAACUGCCACUGACAUUGAGGCUCGAAAGUGUGGGGAUCAAACAGGAUUAGAUACCCGUGUAGUC